AGCGAACGCUGGCGGCAGGCUUAACACAUGCAAGUCGAACGCAUCACUUCGGUGGUGAGUGGCAGACGGGUGAGUAACACGGGGGAACGUACCCUUCGAUCUGGGAUAACUUCGGGAAACUGGAGCUAAUACCGGAUACGCCCUUUUGGGGAAAGGUUUACUGUCGAAGGAUCGGCCCGCGUCUGAUUAGCUAGUUGGUGGGGUAACGGCCUACCAAGGCGACGAUCAGUAGCUGGUCUGAGAGGAUGAUCCGCCACACUGGGACUGGGACACGGCCCAGACUCCUACGGGAGGCAGCAGUGGGGAAUAUUGGACAAUGGGCGCAAGCCUGAUCCAGCCAUGCCGCGUGAGUGAUGAAGGCCUUAGGGUUGUAAAGCUCUUUUGUCCGGGACGAUAAUGACGGUACCGGAAGAAUAAGCCCCGGCUAACUUCGUG
RNAcentral lists this ribosomal RNA (435 nucleotides) under uncultured bacterium. RNAcentral describes it as "partial 16S ribosomal RNA". It matches the Rfam family "Bacterial small subunit ribosomal RNA", at positions 29 to 507 of the family's 1533-position model. The record is from RNAcentral.